GGAAGGAUCAUUAUGGGUGGCUUUAUGUCCCCGAAAAAGAUAGAACCUAUGUCUACCGUACCUUCGUUUCCUCGGCAGGCUCGCCUGCCAAUGGGGACAUUACCAAAACCUCCUGUAAUAGAAGUGAACGUUUGCAAACAAAUAAUCAAAACUUUCAACAACGGAUCUCUUGGUUCUGGCAUCGAUGAAGAACGCAGCGAAAUGCGAUAAGUAGUGUGAAUUGCAGAAUUCAGUGAAUCAUCGAAUCUUUGAACGCACAUUGCGCCCUUUGGUAUUCCUUAGGGCAUGCCUGUUCGAGCGUCAUUUUAAACCUCAAGCAAAGCUUGGUGUUGGGCGUCUGUCCCCCCCCUUUGUGGGGGACUCGUCUUGAAGUCAUUGGCGGCCGUAUCUUGAAGCUAUUGAAUCGCAGUACAACUGUUGCGUUCGGGCUUCGGAGUGUGGUGUCCAGCAAGCACAAUCCAAAGAAUUGACCUCGGAUCAGGUAGGGAUACCCGCUGAACUUAAGCAUAUCAAUAAGCGGAGGAAAAGAAACCAACAGGGAUUGCCCUAGUAACGGCGAGUGAAGCGGCAACAGCUCAAAUUUGAAAUCUGGCUCCUUUGGAGUCCGAGUUGUAAUUUGUAGAGGGCGCUUUGGCAAAGGCUAUGGCCUAAGUUCCUUGGAACAGGACGUCACAGAGGGUGAGAACCCCGUACGUGGUCGCUAGUCUGAGCCGUGUAAAGCCCCUUCGACGAGUCGAGUUGUUUGGGAAUGCAGCUCUAAAUGGGAGGUAAAUUUCUUCUAAAGCUAAAUAUUGGCCAGAGACCGAUAGCGCACAAGUAGAGUGAUCGAAAGAUGAAAAGCACUUUGGAAAGAGAGUCAAAAAGCACGUGAAAUUGUUGAAAGGGAAGCGCUUGCAGUCAGAUCUGUGGUAAGUGUAUGGUAGGGCUUUUGCCCUGCCUUCCUCUCACCACGGGCCAGCAUCAGUUUAGGCGGCUGGAUAAAGAUCAGGGGAAUGUAGCUCUCUUCGGGGAGUGUUAUAGCCCUUGGUGUCAUGCAGCCAGCUUGGACUGAGGUUCGCGCAUCUGCUAGGAUGCUGGCAUAAUGGCUGUAAGCGGCCCGUCUUGAAACACGGACCAAGGAGUCUAACAUCUAUGCGAGUGUUUGGGUGUCAAGCCCGGGCGCGUAAUGAAAGUGAACGGAGGUGGGAACCCUCCGGGGUGCACCAUCGACCGAUCCUGAUGUCUUCGGAUGGAUUUGAGUAAGAGCAUAGCUGUUGGGACCCGAAAGAUGGUGAACUAUGCCUGAAUAGGGUGAAGCCAGAGGAAACUCUGGUGGAGGCUCGCAGCGGUUCUGACGUGCAAAUCGAUCGUCAAAUUUGGGCAUAGGGGCGAAAGACUAAUCGAACUAUCUAGUAGCUGGUUCCUGC
RNAcentral lists this unclassified non-coding RNA (1406 nucleotides) under uncultured fungus. RNAcentral describes it as "sequence contains 18S rRNA gene, ITS1, 5.8S rRNA gene, ITS2, 28S rRNA gene". The stretch from base 468 to 1406 matches the Rfam family "Eukaryotic large subunit ribosomal RNA", at positions 1 to 961 of the family's 3401-position model. The record is from RNAcentral. Lineage: Eukaryota; Fungi.